CCUACGGGAGGCAGCAGUGGGGGAUAUUGCACAAUGGGGGGAACCCUGAUGCAGCGACGCCGCGUGGGUGAAGGAGUAUUUCGGUAUGUAAAGCCCUAUCGGCAGGGAAGAAAUUGGACGGUACCUGACUAAGAAGCCCCGGCUAACUACGGGCCAGCAGCCGCGGUAAUACGUAGGGGGAAAGCUUUAUCCGAUUUCACGGGGGUAAAAGGGAGCGUAGACGGCCAGGCAAGCUUGGAGUGAAAGCCCGGGGCCCAACCCCGGGACUGCUCUGGGGAAUGGCCGGCUGGAGUGCGGGAGGGGCAGGCGGAAUUCCUGGGGUAGCGGUGAAAUGCGUAGAUAUCAGGAGGAACACCGGCGGCGAAGGCGGCCUGCUGGACCGCGACUGACGUUGAGGCUCGAAAGCGUGGGGAGCGAACAGGAUUAGAUACCCGAGUAGUC
RNAcentral lists this ribosomal RNA (441 nucleotides) under uncultured bacterium. RNAcentral describes it as "partial 16S ribosomal RNA". It matches the Rfam family "Bacterial small subunit ribosomal RNA", at positions 338 to 795 of the family's 1533-position model. The record is from RNAcentral.